Long non-coding RNA from Helianthus annuus (common sunflower), 1679 nucleotides. RefSeq lists it as uncharacterized. Lineage: Eukaryota; Viridiplantae; Streptophyta; Magnoliopsida; Asterales; Asteraceae. The transcript is spliced from 3 exons. The record is from RefSeq and is a predicted model, not a curated record.
CCCAAGUUUUCUUUUCAUUUGAAGACAAACAAAGAGAGAGAGAGAGAGAGAGCGAAAAGACAGAGCUCAUCCCGAUCCUCUCCACCGGCGACCAUCGAAACCAUCUUCUUCUCUUAAAGAGUUGAUGAUCUUGGACAAAAUCAUGGCUGGUUCUCCUUAACAUACCCUCUAUUGAUGCAAAAAUGGGUCAAGCGAAAGAAGACCUAAUUGGCCUUCACCGACUGGAAGGUAACCGUAAUCAAACGUCUAGAAGGUUUCUUUCAAUCGCAACCGAAGAACUUUCCUGGAGGAGAAUGGUUGAAGAAGCUGGCGACGGUUUACAAGGGCACCGUGAAUCUGUCCGAUGGAUGAUACGAAGAAGUUCCCAAAGUAAAAUUAUGAUGGGUCCAACGGGUUUGGGUCAUAAGGUUCCAACCAAACUGGUUCAGGUGAAAGGAAAUAUUUUAGAAAGUGGUCGUUUGGUUUGUGUUAGAACGGAUUCGGUUCUGAGUGGGUUCGGACCAAACUGGAUACGGGUCAAAUCGAAGUACUUCAAAAAGUGGUGGUUCACAUAACAUGAUAUGCGUUUUUGUAACUUGGAUAGAAAGUUUUUCUUUAUUUUUUAGGGAUCAUUUGCCGCCUGGGAUAUGAUGGCUGAUGCAAACAUACCUCAAGGUGCCAUUACGACGUCAUAGAAGAUAAAGAUUUACAAAAAUUUCGCCUCGCAGCUGAUGGCUAGAAAAAAGUUUUUGAUGAUGUUCCGAGAAGAAUUAGAGCAAAGCUAUAACAAGGGUAACUUCAACUAAACCUGUUGCACAUCAGGUACAUGUGUUUAAUUUGACUUAGUUUGGGCUACUCAAAUCAAUCAGUAACAGGGUUUGUAAUUUUAAUUAAUUAAUACCAUUUUGUGGAAAUAUUUAUGUAAAAUUUGUAUGUACUUCAUGUCUGGGGAUAAGGGACUUUGCUCUUUUCCAUUGGCAAUAGUUAGAACUAAAACCAAACCGGUUAGUUAUAUCUGAUUGUAAAAAUUGGCUAAAAACCUACAUACUUUUGUACCAGUACAGAUAUAAUAUUUGAUGCAAUAAACAGUAAGGACUUCAUUGAAGCGAGCAUGUUCGGGAAUCUUUUGGAGUUCGCAACGAAGAUAUAUUCUUUCCUGCAAUAAAGGGAAAGUUUUUUGCUUCGUUUCUAAGACCGAAAGUAGUCCCAACGUUUGUCCAAAAGUUGUUAUGAUUAGAGGUGGAUAUUUCAACAUAACCGGUCAAUUUAGAUAAUAUUUUAUUGGUAACGGUUCAAAUUUAUCUAGGGCUGGUAGUUGUACCCAUUUUGACUUGACCCAAUUCUUCGUCGUUUGUAUUGUGGGCUGUAAUUCAAAUAAUUUGCAGGUGUUUCACGAGGAAAAGGUCGAGAUUUAUUCUUGCGGUCAUUUUAUGAGAGCUUACAUUUGCUUCAAGAAAAGAAGCUCAUUUUCUGUCUUACACUCUCCAGGCUUGCGUGUUGGCGGAUAGUCUUGACAUGACUCAUGGCAGCGUGUGGUUCUGUUGGAACUGGCUUGUGAGUAUUUUGUUGGGAGAUUUGGAACUUAGCUCGUAAGAAUAAACAAGAUUAUGAUUAUGUUCUUUUAUACUGUUGUGUUUGCUUGAAUAUGUUGUUUUGUAUAGUCAAAAUGAAUGAAUUGUUACUGCAAGAAAAUAGCUUGA